UUGGUGAUGAACAGCAUCAUGGAAGUGU
Molecule: non-coding RNA, 28 nt
Filed under: Mus musculus (house mouse)
Lineage: Eukaryota; Metazoa; Chordata; Mammalia; Rodentia; Muridae
Source: RNAcentral